Molecule: long non-coding RNA, 215 nt
Filed under: Phoenix dactylifera (date palm)
Lineage: Eukaryota; Viridiplantae; Streptophyta; Magnoliopsida; Arecales; Arecaceae
Description: long non-coding RNA (PDAC_LNC019037)
Source: RNAcentral
GCUGGUAGAUAAGGGACACAACCCACAAAGCCGAGGCUGGCCAACUCUCCGCCUCGGCCCGAUUUCAGCGUGAGGUCCACCGAGUUCUCACUUCUCCUUAGUUAGGGUUAGGUUUUGUCAUUUGUGCGCCGCCUGAGCUCUAUUCCCUCCCUCCCUCAGUGUCCCUUUCCCCUCUCCUCUCCUCCGGAUUCUUCGCCUCCCCGUCGACGGCGACC